ACAUUUCUGUUGUAUAAAAACACAAAUGCACAAGGGUAACUAUGGGAAAUUUGAAGGUGCACUGAGUAAUAUUGUCCUUAUUUUAAGGAGACUUAAUAUGAUGCACACUACAAUUCAACACUGAAUGUAUCUACAGUUUCCACAAAAAUAUUAAGCAUAAUAAGACAUUUUUGCUGAGCAGCAAAUCAGCUUUUUAGAAUGAUUUCUGAAGGAUCAUGUGACACUGAAGACUGGAGUUAUUGGACUUUGUGUGUGCGUGUGAUGCUGCAUGUACACUGGUACGUGUAUAAAGUCCAAGACCACUGUUAUAUUUGCCAGAAUUGAACAAAUACUUGGUGCACCUUCAAAGUUAAAAGGUCUGGGAUACUGCAUCAAGGUGUCUGUUGUCAGCCACGCUGGUCCGGAUGACAUGAUCCCGCUUCUCUCUGAUCAUCCGUAUGCACCGCACCAGUGUAAAUAAGAUAUAAUCCAGAGAGCUUGAAUAUUUUCCAGUACCUGGUUGGCCUUUUUGAAGAACUUCCACAUGCAAUGCAGCUUUAACAGUGUCUCCUGAUUCCAGGAGUUUGCGUAAGGUUCAAUGGCAGAGGAAGGAGAAGCACCUGACAGGAUGGUGUACUUUACUGGUGUUCUGAGACACUCAUCACCAUCCACAGCUUGAAUCGGACCCGGAAAGAAAUCCAAGACAAUGUCCUGAGUGACAAAUACACAGACGAUAAGAAGGAAUCAGAUACAUGCACGUUCAAUGGGGUUUACCUGCUCGUUCUCUGUGAUGUUGGCGGUGUACAGAGGAUUGGCACAUAUGCGGUUGCUGUGAUUGGCUGAGAGAAGAGUGCAAGGCUGGAAUUGUGGGUACUGGUCGUCCCCAUCUAUCACAUUGAUGAUUAUUGUUGCCGUUGUGUUGUAGUGUUCAUUUGUGUUCAUCUCCUAAAGCCACAUCAACAUCUGAGUAAAUAACAGUUCAGUUUUUUUUCACACCUUUUUAUCAUCUGCAGACAAGUGUUUCUGUUUGUUUUACCACUGCAUAAAGAGUCAGUUGGAGCUGAGUUUUGAUCUCGUAGUCCAGUGACUUGUUGAGAACCACUUUGCCACUGUUGGCAUCUGUGGCCUGGACUGUAAACACUACAGAGUUCACCGCUGUCAACUGAACAAACACAUUAAACAACCAGCAGAAGAUGGGAGAAAAUCUCAGGAAUGGAGUAAAAUAUGGGGGGGAAACUUUUUAAAUGUAUGCUUAUAUAUGCAAUGUGCUGCUCAAAAGUUUGGGAAUCAGUAAGACUUGAAAGUUUGUUUUUGAAAGUCUCUUAUGCUCACAAGGGCCUCAUUUUUACAUUUCAGUAAAACAGUAAUAUAACGGUGAUAUUGUGGAAUAUUAUUACAAUUUCAAAUAACUGUUUUCUAUUUUAAAAUGUAAUUUAUUCCUGUGAUGCAAAGCUGAGUUUUCAGCAUCAUUACUCCAGUCUUCAGGGUCACAUGAUCCUUCAGAAAUCAUUCUAAUAUGCUGAUGCAGUCGUGCUGCUUCAUAUUCAAAAUAAUAGCAAUAUACUAUAAUAUAUAUUUGUUAUUUGAAAUAGGAAUCUUCUUUACAGUCAUGGCCAAAAAUAUCGGCACCCUUGGUAAAUAUGAUCAAAGAAGGCUGUGAAAAUUUAGAGCUGUUAAACUGGCAAAUGGAGGUUUCAAAAAGUAUUGAAUAAAAGUUAUAAUUGCCAAUAAUUGUGCCCAACGUGUAUUUGAGAAAAACAUUUGUUUUAUAAUGAUAUUUCCCCCAAUUUUAAAUUCUUAUUAUCCAAUGAAAGGUUAGACUGUUGUGAAUUUUUUUAAUAAAAGAUCAAAAGGAUUAACUGUAUAUGAUGUCUUUGUAUCAUGUCUUCACUGUUACUUUUGAUCAAUUUGAUGCAUUGAUGAUC
Long non-coding RNA from Onychostoma macrolepis, 1904 nucleotides. RefSeq lists it as uncharacterized. Lineage: Eukaryota; Metazoa; Chordata; Actinopteri; Cypriniformes; Cyprinidae. The transcript is spliced from 6 exons. The record is from RefSeq and is a predicted model, not a curated record.